GCUCAGUUGGUAGAGCAUGGUGUUUGCAACGCCAGCAUGGUGUGUGCAACGCCAGGGUUGUGGGUUCGAUUCCCAC
This 76-nucleotide transfer RNA is filed under the name Salmo salar (Atlantic salmon). It matches the Rfam family "tRNA", at positions 10 to 63 of the family's 71-position model. From Rfam's summary of the family: Transfer RNA (tRNA) molecules are approximately 80 nucleotides in length. Their secondary structure includes four short double-helical elements and three loops (D, anti-codon, and T loops). Lineage: Eukaryota; Metazoa; Chordata; Actinopteri; Salmoniformes; Salmonidae. The record is from Rfam by way of RNAcentral. RNAcentral also lists the same sequence under 1 other name.